This 497-nucleotide ribosomal RNA is filed under the name uncultured bacterium. RNAcentral's name for it is "partial 16S ribosomal RNA". It matches the Rfam family "Bacterial small subunit ribosomal RNA", at positions 28 to 507 of the family's 1533-position model. The record is from RNAcentral.
GAUGAACGCUGGCGGCGUGCCUAAUACAUGCAAGUCGAGCGAACAGACGAGGAGCUUGCUCCUCUGACGUUAGCGGCGGACGGGUGAGUAACACGUGGAUAACCUACCUAUAAGACUGGGAUAACUUCGGGAAACCGGAGCUAAUACCGGAUAAUAUAUUAAACCGCAUGGUUCAAUAGUGAAAGACGGUUUUGCUGUCACUCACAGAUGGAUCCGCGCCGCAUUAGCUAGUUGGUAAGCUAACGGCUUACCAAGGCAACGAUGCGUAUCCGACCUGAGAGGGUGAUCGGACACACGAGAACUGAGACACGGUCCAGAAUCCGACGGGAGGCAGCAGUAGGGAAUCUUCCGCAAUGGGCGAAAGCAUGACAGAGCAACGCCGCGUGGGUGAUGAAGGUCUUCGGAUCGUAAAACUCUGUUAUUAGAGAAGAACAAAUGUGUAAGUAACUAUGCACGUCUUGACGGUACCUAAUCAGAAAGCCACGGCUAACUACGUG